Long non-coding RNA from Aricia agestis (brown argus), 353 nucleotides. RefSeq lists it as uncharacterized. Lineage: Eukaryota; Metazoa; Arthropoda; Insecta; Lepidoptera; Lycaenidae. The transcript is spliced from 4 exons. The record is from RefSeq and is a predicted model, not a curated record.
UUUAUGGUAUUUUUUUUGAACUCAAAAUUUUUUCUUUUAAACUCAAAUUUCAACAAGAUAUUUUUGGCACCAUUCUUAUCCCUGUGAAUACCCUUACGACAUACACUGCAGUACAAGUAACGAUGUGGGGAUUUGGAAACUUGUAAUUUUUGUUGUAUUUCACUCUCGUAACACUUGCUACAAUUUUUCGUUGUAAACGCCUCAUUCAUUAUAUACAAUUAUAAAUUCGGACGUUGUUUUAUUAUUUUCAAAAUAUCGUUGUGUCUAAACUUCCUGUGGCCCUUGAACGUAGGUACCCUUAUUCAUAAAAUCGAAACCUGCACCGUAAACCACCAGCGUGUCUGGUUCUUUUC